GUCUCCAUAGCACAACGGAUACUGCGCCUGGCUACGGACCAGGAGACUGAGGGUUCGAAUCCUUCUGGGGACGC
RNAcentral lists this transfer RNA (74 nucleotides) under Gordonia phage Forza. RNAcentral describes it as "tRNA-Arg". It matches the Rfam family "tRNA". From Rfam's summary of the family: Transfer RNA (tRNA) molecules are approximately 80 nucleotides in length. Their secondary structure includes four short double-helical elements and three loops (D, anti-codon, and T loops). Further hydrogen bonds mediate the characteristic L-shaped molecular structure. tRNAs have two regions of fundamental functional importance: the anti-codon, which is responsible for specific mRNA codon recognition, and the 3' end, to which the tRNAs corresponding amino acid is attached (by aminoacyl-tRNA synthetases). tRNAs cope with the degeneracy of the genetic code in two manners: having more than one tRNA (with a specific anti-codon) for a particular amino acid; and 'wobble' base-pairing, i.e. permitting non-standard base-pairing at the 3rd anti-codon position. RNAcentral also lists the same sequence under 3 other names. Lineage: Duplodnaviria; Heunggongvirae; Uroviricota; Caudoviricetes. The record is from RNAcentral.